RNAcentral lists this ribosomal RNA (714 nucleotides) under Guptibacillus hwajinpoensis. Its description in RNAcentral is "bacterial SSU rRNA". It matches the Rfam family "Bacterial small subunit ribosomal RNA", at positions 56 to 753 of the family's 1533-position model. The record is from RNAcentral. Lineage: Bacteria; Bacillati; Bacillota; Bacilli; Caryophanales; Guptibacillaceae.
UGCAGUCGAGCGAAGAGUGGGAGCUUGCUCCCUGAUCUUAGCGGCGGACGGGUGAGUAACACGUGGGCAACCUGCCCUGCAGACUGGGAUAACUCCGGGAAACCGGAGCUAAUACCGGGUAAUACAUCGCACCGCAUGGUGCAAUGUUGAAAGUUGGCCUUUGGCUAACACUGCAGGAUGGGCCCGCGGCGCAUUAGCUAGUUGGUAAGGUAACGGCUUACCAAGGCGACGAUGCGUAGCCGACCUGAGAGGGUGAUCGGCCACACUGGGACUGAGACACGGCCCAGACUCCUACGGGAGGCAGCAGUAGGGAAUCUUCCGCAAUGGACGAAAGUCUGACGGAGCAACGCCGCGUGAGUGACGAAGGCCUUCGGGUCGUAAAGCUCUGUUGUUAGGGAAGAACAAGUACCGUUCGAAUAGGGCGGUACCUUGACGGUACCUAACCAGAAAGCCACGGCUAACUACGUGCCAGCAGCCGCGGUAAUACGUAGGUGGCAAGCGUUGUCCGGAAUUAUUGGGCGUAAAGCGCGCGCAGGCGGUCUUUUAAGUCUGAUGUGAAAGCCCACGGCUCAACCGUGGAGGGUCAUUGGAAACUGGAGGACUUGAGUGCAGAAGAGGAGAGUGGAAUUCCACGUGUAGCGGUGAAAUGCGUAGAUAUGUGGAGGAACACCAGUGGCGAAGGCGGCUCUCUGGUCUGUAACUGACGCUGAGGCG